RNAcentral lists this ribosomal RNA (253 nucleotides) under uncultured bacterium. Its description in RNAcentral is "partial 16S ribosomal RNA". It matches the Rfam family "Bacterial small subunit ribosomal RNA", at positions 524 to 776 of the family's 1533-position model. The record is from RNAcentral.
UACGGAGGGUGCAAGCGUUAUCCGGAUUCACUGGGUUUAAAGGGCGCGUAGGUGGGUUGGUAAGUCAGUGGUGAAAUCUCCGAGCUUAACUCGGAAAGGUCAACUGAUACUGUGCGGCUAGAGUGCGGAAGGGGCAACUGGAAUUCUUGGUGUAGCGGUGAAAUGCGUAGAUAUCAGGAGGAACACCUGCGGCGAAGGCGGGUUGCUGGGCCGACACUGACGCUGAUGCGCGAAAGCUAGGGGAGCGAACGGG